Molecule: transfer-messenger RNA, 376 nt
Filed under: Liberibacter crescens BT-1
Lineage: Bacteria; Pseudomonadati; Pseudomonadota; Alphaproteobacteria; Hyphomicrobiales; Rhizobiaceae
Description: Alphaproteobacteria transfer-messenger RNA
Rfam family: Alphaproteobacteria transfer-messenger RNA
About the family: Bacterial tmRNA, also known as 10Sa RNA or SsrA, is named for its dual tRNA and mRNA-like properties. Its role is to liberate the mRNA from a stalled ribosome.
Source: Rfam by way of RNAcentral
UUUCUUUUCAACUCCAUAAAAAAAGUUUAUAAUUUAUGCUGUCAAAAGAAAUUAUAUCUUAUGACUAUAGCAAUAAAUAUUCAAUAUAAUAAACCAAUUGGACUCGGGGGCAGUACCCGGCGCCUCCACCAUAACCUUUUAAAAUUGUUUAAUAUUAAAUCAAUAUAAUGGGGGCGAAACAGGAUCGACAAGGGCGUAAAGAUUGAAAGUUUGCUCGGUAUUGUACCACCGUUAUCGGGCUAAAAUCUAGUUGCAAACGACAACUAUGCUGAAGCACGUCUCGCUGCUUAAUUGCGGUGUGACACUUCAACUCAAGUCCUGAUGGGUUGCACCAUUAGGCGGGGCCCGAAGGCGCCUGGCAACAGAAGCCUUCACU